CCUACGGGUGGCUGCAGUCGAGAAUCAUUCACAAUGGGGGAAACCCUGAUGGUGCGACGCCGCGUGGGGGAAUGAAGGUCUUCGGAUUGUAAACCCCUGUCAUGUGGGAGCAAAUUAAAAAGAUAGUACCACAAGAGGAAGAGACGGCUAACUCUGUGCCAGCAGCCGCGGUAAUACAGAGGUCUCAAGCGUUGUUCGGAAUCACUGGGCGUAAGGCGUGCGUAGGCUGUUUCGUAAGUCGUGUGUGAAAGGCGCGGGCUCAACCCGCGGACGGCACAUGAUACUGCGAGACUAGAGUAAUGGAGGGGGAACCGGAAUUCUCGGUGUAGCAGGGAAAUGCGUAGAUAUCGAGAGGAACACUCGUGGCGAGGGCGGGUUCCUGGACAGUAACUGACGCUGAGGCACGAAGGCCAGGGGAGCGAAAGGGAUUAGAUACCCUUGUAGUC
Molecule: ribosomal RNA, 446 nt
Filed under: uncultured bacterium
Lineage: Bacteria
Description: partial 16S ribosomal RNA
Rfam family: Bacterial small subunit ribosomal RNA
Source: RNAcentral